Molecule: ribosomal RNA, 415 nt
Filed under: Metschnikowia sp. (in: budding yeasts & allies)
Lineage: Eukaryota; Fungi; Ascomycota; Pichiomycetes; Serinales; Metschnikowiaceae
Description: eukaryotic LSU rRNA
Rfam family: Eukaryotic large subunit ribosomal RNA
Source: RNAcentral
GCGGAGGAAAAGAAACCAACAGGGAUUGCCUCAGUAACGGCGAGUGAAGCGGCAAAAGCUCAAAUUUGAAAUCCCCCGGGAAUUGUAAUUUGAAGAGAUUUGGGUCCCGGCCCGGCGGGGGUUAAGUCCCACUGGAAAAGUGGCGCCACAGAGGGUGACAGCCCCGUGAACCCCUUUAACGCCCUCAUCCCAGAUCUCCAAGAGUCGAGUUGUUUGGGAAUGCAGCUCUAAGUGGGUGGUAAAUUCCAUCUAAAGCUAAAUACCGGCGAGAGACCGAUAGCGAACAAGUACAGUGAUGGAAAGAUGAAAAGCACUUUGAAAAGAGAGUGAAAAAGUACGUGAAAUUGUUGAAAGGGAAGGGCUUGCAAGCAGACACUUAACUGGGCCAGCAUCGGGCGUGUUUUUGGGCGCGGAC